Molecule: unclassified non-coding RNA, 2061 nt
Filed under: Rhagoletis pomonella (apple maggot)
Lineage: Eukaryota; Metazoa; Arthropoda; Insecta; Diptera; Tephritidae
Description: transmembrane protein 184B-like, transcript variant X4
Source: RNAcentral
UUUCACAGAAAUCGGUGGGUUUUUCUUUUAACAUCUACGGAAAGUGGUUAUUGAAGAAAUUAAAGCAAUCUAAUUGAAUCAAAAUUAGUGAAAAUAAGGUGAAAUUAUAAUAAAUCGCGCACAAAGUUGAAAUAAAGCGAGCUUUUGAUGUUAAACGAUUAAUUUCGCCACAAAAAGUGAAGUGAGUGCUUUUUCAUCAAAAACACGAAAGGCAAAAAAGAAGAAAAAAAACGUCAUCUCUUGCCAAUAGAAUUGCUGAUGAAUACGAUUUCAGCUGGAGGAGAAACAAAAUACACAUAGCACUGAUUUGGAAAAUAAGGAAAGCCAAUUGGCUUAACUUCGUUAAUCGUACGCAAUUAGGAUAUAAAAUUUAAAUUCAAUUGGUAUCACCAGAAAGCAAUAAAGCAGCAUAUAGACACGACGCAGACGAACAAGUAUGAGCAGCGUUGUGAGUAGCACAGCGCCCAGUCCAGCCAGCUUCAUUGACCCGAAUGGCACAGCAGCAGCCGCAGCUGCAGCCGUCGCAUCGAUGAUGACCGAAUCGACAACUUUAAAACCGAAUUUUAUUGUACAAGCCAAACCAAUGUCGUCGCCCAUUGAUCCGCUCAGUCACGUCGGUGAUGGUAUCUUCCUGCAAACAAAGACCGCUCAAGGACUUGCGACUGUAUUCGUGUGGGCGGCACUCUUUAUCACAUGCCAACAGAUUUAUCAACACCUGCGUUGGUAUACAAAUCCACAGGAGCAACGUUGGAUAGUACGUAUCCUAUUUAUUGUGCCCAUGUAUGCGACAUACUCGUGGAUCAGUUUAUUUUUCUUCAAUUCAGAUAAUGUGUACGUGUAUUUCUUUACCGUACGUGAUUGCUAUGAAGCUUUUGUCAUCUACAGUUUCCUGUCGCUAUGCUACGAGUACCUCGGUGGCGAGGGCAACAUUAUGUCCGAGAUACGUGGCAAACCCAUUAAAAGCUCGUGUCUUUAUGGCACUUGCUGCCUAAGAGGUAAAACAUAUACCAUCGGCUUCCUACGCUUCUGCAAGCAGGCUACAUUGCAAUUCUGCUUGGUGAAGCCGCUUGUGGCGUUUAUUAUUAUAUUCCUGCAAGCUUUUGGCCACUAUCAUGAUGGUGAUUGGAGCGCCAAUGGUGGUUAUAUUUACAUUACUGUCAUCUACAAUAUAUCCGUUACUCUUGCCCUCUACGGCUUGUACUUAUUCUAUUUUGCUACGCGUGAUUUGUUAACACCCUUUGAGCCUGUGCUGAAGUUUUGUACAAUCAAAUCGAUUAUCUUCUUAUCAUUUUGGCAAGGUGUGAUGUUGGCCAUUUUGGAGAAGGCCAAAGUCAUCUCGCCGAUCGUCGACAGUGCUGGCACUCACACCUCAGCUGGUACUGUCUCGGCGGGCUAUCAGAACUUUUUCAUUUGCAUUGAAAUGCUAUUUGCUGCGAUUGCGUUACGCUAUGCCUUCCCCUAUCAGGUAUAUGCGCGCAGCUGUAUUGCCGAUGGUCAAGGUCGCUCUGUAACAAUGCAAUCGAUUUCAAGCAGUCUUAAAGAAACAAUGAAUCCCAAGGAUAUUAUGACAGAUGCUAUACACAAUUUUCAUCCACAAUACCAACAAUAUACGCAAUACAGUUCCGGCAACCAAAGCUGGCACCAACACAGCGGGCACGCGCACCUAUCACACCAUAACGACUUCUAAAGUCAACAUUUUGUGCCUCUGAAGGGCAUUAAAGAGUCGACAUCAAACCACAUCCUCCGCUUCCUUACAUAAAAAUCUACACCACUCAAGGACAAAGCAGCUGGCACGUACUAAUUAACUUAAUUGCUUUAAAGCUAAAACAUCAGCAGUGGCUAAUGUAAAAGUAUACAAUUCACAUUCAUAGCGCGAUUUCCAAUGCCAUAUGCCGUGCAAGAGGGUGUUUAUUUACUACAUACGAGAGUCGUCUCAGAAUUUAUUUGAGAUGUCUACACAUGAAUUUAACUAACCAUACCACGUAAAUAAGAAAUUUCGUGCGCUCAUUCGUACAUCCACUUGUCCAGCUAAGCAACCAGCAAAACGGCCAGAAUAGCACA